AUAUUUACCUGGCAGGGGAGAUAGCAUGGUCACUAAGGUGUUCUUCCCAGGUUGAGGCCUAUCCAUUGUACUCGGGAUGCGCUGACUCCUGUGAUUUCCCCAAAUGUGGGAAACAUGACUGCAUAAUUUGUUCUAGUGGAAGACUGUCUUCUUGCUUUCCCCAA
This is a non-coding RNA of Ictidomys tridecemlineatus (thirteen-lined ground squirrel), 164 nucleotides long. The record is from Rfam. NCBI's taxonomy places the organism in Eukaryota, Metazoa, Chordata, Mammalia, Rodentia, Sciuridae.